UGGAUGGCCCUCUCUGCUGGGGUGACGGAGCAGCGCUAGCUGCAGCCGCCGCGGGGGCAGAUGGCGUAACUGACGACUCACUGUUUUUGGGUCGGACAGCCGCCGGAAGCCGUUGUGUCACUGCCCCCUGACGCGUCACAUCGGCAAAGGUGUUCUGCGGCAGGUAUGAAACCCGCCUGCGUGCCUCCUUGAAACAUUUGUUUUCUUUUGCUUUAGUUGUAACAAUUUGCUUUUCUUUUUUCCAGGAUGGGCACAACCACGAGUACGCGGCAUGCUCCCCAUCACAGUCUACACAGCGGAGCGUGUUCUCGCAGGAUUCAGAGGCGUGUUCAUGGGCACUGCAUUUCGCACAAGUUUGGCGGCCGCGGCAUCUCUGCGAACUGUGGCCGAAAUGCUGGCAUUAGAAACAUCGGAGGGGAUUGGGCACGUAUGGCCGAACACGAAGUUUGAUAUAACCCGCCUCGAUGGACUCCGGAAGGACACAUGAGCCGAAGCUGCCGUUUGAGGUCUGUCAUAGUAAAAGCGGUGCGGCCCUCCCGCUUCCUUGCAACACCAUCCAGAUGGCGCUCGCCUCCGCGCAUCCGCGGCCGCGGCGGUGCCUGCCGUGGGGAAACAAAAGGAACCAGAAAGCUCGCCUUCAUGGAAGACGUUUGCCGCCAGCAUUUCUAGGAAAACAUUACGGUGACAAUGAAGUUGGAGCGAGAUUUUUGCAUAUAAAAGGCUCGUGAAUCUUCCAAGGGUCCACAAGCCUGCUGCAUUCCGCAUCCAGAGCCAUGGCCCGCCUUUUGCUAGUCUGCGCACUUGCCGCGUCCCUCUCCUGCAUGGCCUACGGACGCUCCAGCUCCUCUAUUGGCUCUUCCAGUUCAAGCCUUGGCGCACGAGGUGGUAGAGGGCGGCUUGGUCAGCAGCAGAUGCAGCAGCAGUGGGGACAGCAUAUGUGGGGACUGCCUUGGGGACAACAGAUGUGGGGGCAGUGGCCAUGGGGACAGCAGUCCUGGGGACAAGAGUCCUGGGGACAGCAGCCGUGGGGACAGGAGUGGUGGGGACCGCAGGCAUGGGUACCAGUGUCAUGGGGACAACAGCAGUGGUCAUGGAUGGGGCCCCGACCACACCAGCAGCAACGGCAGCAAGAACAACAACCGCACUAAUAUUGUCACUAGCAGUUGAUUCUCUACUAAACACGGCGGCAAUCAAUAGCUCAUUUAUCUAAGAGAACCCGGCAAUAAUAUAAUAAAGCAAGGUUCAUCACUCUGCAGGUGAAAUAGGCAACCUGUCUUCUUGCGUGCGUCUGUGCGUCUUCGUAGAGGCCGUAAGAGGAAAGCCCAGGAGCUGCUAAUAGCUAUGCUGCUGUAGUGCGUCAGCAUCAAAUAAACUACAAGAAACAAUAGCGUGACAAGAUAUUAAAAUAUUUGCGGCUUUGCGUCUGUAUGGCAACAUCAAACAACUGUGGACAUGUGUGCUUCAAUAAAAGAAUGGGUAC
Dermacentor andersoni is the source of this 1480-nucleotide long non-coding RNA. RefSeq lists it as uncharacterized. NCBI's taxonomy places the organism in Eukaryota, Metazoa, Arthropoda, Arachnida, Ixodida, Ixodidae. The record is from RefSeq and is a predicted model, not a curated record.